This is a long non-coding RNA of Vitis riparia (riverbank grape), 321 nucleotides long. RefSeq lists it as uncharacterized. NCBI's taxonomy places the organism in Eukaryota, Viridiplantae, Streptophyta, Magnoliopsida, Vitales, Vitaceae. The transcript has 3 exons. The record is from RefSeq and is a predicted model, not a curated record.
UUAUGAAUUUUCCAUUCAUUUUUUUUUUCUUUUUUAUGUGAAUGACUUUACAGGUUCAUAUUGUAGUCAUAACUUCUUAUAAAUGAUAGCACAUAUUGGAAGAGGUUACUAUGAUGAUGGUACUUAACCGGUGUCUUUAGUAAUCACCCCCUAUCAUACCUCAUGGCCUUUGUAUUUGGCAUGCACAACAAAGAAAAUGUUAAGGUGUUCUAUUAUGCCUUCAGUCCAAAUGAUUCAACUGAAUAGAUACAUCGUAUUCAGUCAGAAGUUGAGCACUUUUAGAUGUUUUUGCCAUGUCAUCUGAUAUGAUUGCCAAACUGA